CUUCAACUGGGAUAAUGAAGAUGGGCAUACACUAACAUUAAGUUUUCCAUGAGGGUAAUUUUUCUGGACAGCAGCGCUACAGCCUUGUCUUAUAUCGAAUUCCAAAUGCCAAGGUUCUUUUACGUGUACAUUAAUGUAUACACCGGACCUUGGUUUUGCUUUGCAUCCAAAUGACUAUACAUAUUGUCCCUUUUCAGGCCACAGCACCAUGGGGAAAUACGCAGGGAUCAAAUACAGGAUCUCCAGAAUUACCAUUUGUUUGUAAAAUUAUUAAAGAUGGCUGCCUCUGGUAUUAAUGAACACAUGGAAGCUAGAAGAAAACAAAAAUUCCUUGAUAUGCAGGCUAGCAAGAAAAAACAAUUCAUUGAUGCGUAUAAUUCCAACCCUGAUAAUAUAUUGCUAGAACAGAUGGAUCAGGUCCAGCAGAUGUCUUACAACAUGGAAGGAGAUGGUAUUAGAAAAGUUGGAAGUCCUCCAGGAAUCACAGACAAAGAUAUACAGAAGUACAGAACAGGAAAAACAAAGUUGGUUGUUUACUCGGCCAAGUUGCCUGAUAGGCUCUCGUCAACCAACUAUUCACAGCAAUGGUGAUAUUGUUGUCCUGAUUAACAAGCUUGUGUCUUUCGUAUUGUUGUCUUGAUUAACCAGCUCACAUCUUUUGUAUUAAGUAUUGUUGUCCAGUCUUAACAUAAACAGAAUCAAACUAUGAUGCAUUUAUGAUCUUUUAUUCAUAUGUUUGCAUCCUUUAUUGCGUAUACCAUUGAUAGUAUUGCAUGCCCGUGUUUUGCAUGCCCCCGUAUACCAUUGAUAGUAUUGCAUGCCCACGUAUUGCAUGCCCCCGUAUACCAUUGAUAGUAUUGCAUGCCCCCUUAUCCCCUUAUACCAUUGAUAGUAUUGCAUACCCACGUAUACCAUUGAUAGUAUUGCAUGCCCACGUAUACCAUUGAUCUAUUUUUGAGCUUUUAAUCAAAAUCUAUUUAUCUUCCAUAUUUAUGUCUCUGUCCCACAUUUAUCAACUGUUACUUAUAUUUGUAUAUGAAUACAUUCACUGUUAUAGUUGUCUUGUUUUUGUAAUAUAUACAUAUUUAGUUUUUGACAUUUUAAUGUUUUACUUUUUCGAUUAGCUGUACAACUUGGAAAAUAAAUUUUUAAGUACCAUUUUUACGAUAAUAAACCAACUCUCGAUUUUCAUUUGUAAUGUUUAAUGAAGAUAUGUCAGUUUUCCAUAUGGCGGACAUUGUGUAAUCCACCUAAUAUCCCGGCUAUUCGAUGAUCUAGAGAGAUGAUUAUGGGCUUGUCAUGUGAAUAAAAAAUGUUUAAAUAGUAGUUUAUAUAACAUUUAAGUGAGAAAACGACCUGCAAUAGACAGAUUUAGCACUAACAAUAAUAUAUCUAUAUACAAACUGUCGAGUCAUCAGUUUUAUAUUUAUAUAAUGGUGUGAACUAUUGAGUCAUCAGUUUAUAUAAUGGUGUAAAAUGAUUUCUACCAAUUUUAUCAGUAUUAUUUAUCUUGAAUAUUCUCAUUUUAUGAAUUUUGUUUUUUGAUUUUCUGAUGUGAAGCAUUCAUAUAAUUUAGCUUUAAUUUAACCAUGAAUAAAU
Molecule: long non-coding RNA, 1599 nt
Organism: Patella vulgata (common limpet)
Lineage: Eukaryota; Metazoa; Mollusca; Gastropoda; Patellidae
Exons: 5
Source: RefSeq, a predicted model, not a curated record